This 465-nucleotide ribosomal RNA is filed under the name uncultured bacterium. Its description in RNAcentral is "partial 16S ribosomal RNA". It matches the Rfam family "Bacterial small subunit ribosomal RNA", at positions 28 to 507 of the family's 1533-position model. The record is from RNAcentral.
GACGAACGCUGGCGGCGUGCUUAACACAUGCAAGUCGAACGGAAAUGCCCUGCUUGCAGGGUACUCGAGUGGCGAACGGGUGAGUAACACUUGGGUGAGCUGCCCUGCACCUCUGGAUAAGCCUGGGAAACUGGGUCUAAUACCGGAUAGGAGCCAGUUUUAGUGUGAGGGUUGGAAAGUUUUUUCGGUGUAGGGUGAGGUCGCGGCCUAUCAGCUUGUUGGUGGGGUAAUGGCCUCCCAAGGCGGAGACGGGUAGCCGGCCUGAGGGGGUGGGCGGCAACAGUGGGACUGGGAUACGGCCCCGACUCCUACGGGAGGCGGCGGUGGGGGAGAGUGCUCAAUGGGCGCGAGCCUGAUGCAGCGACGCCGAGGGGGGGAUGACGGCCUACGGGUUGGAAACGCCGUUCCCUAGGGACGAAGCUUUUUGUGACGGUACCUAGAUAAGAAGCACCGGCUAACUACGUG